Molecule: long non-coding RNA, 1361 nt
Filed under: Strigops habroptila (Kakapo)
Lineage: Eukaryota; Metazoa; Chordata; Aves; Psittaciformes; Psittacidae
Description: lncRNA (ENSSHBG00005010213.1)
Source: RNAcentral
GGGGAGUUGCUGCUUGUGACUGUUACCCGUGACCGCUCCUUCCUGUGGUACAACGAAACAUCUUGCAGGUGCUUUUUGAAGAGAUGGAACUCCAUGUCCAUGAGUGUACCCAAAUAGGCAAUGCCAGUGUUGUCAAAAACACCCGUAGACAGGUAAGCAAUUAACACCACACGACAAACACUAGUUCUCUAGUUACGGGUGAGUUUAAGCCAGACAUGAUACUAGGAUACCUACACAAAAUACAGCACACUGUUCAAUUCCAGCAGUUUUGAGCACAAACUGAAUUUCCUGAGAGUAUAGCAGCACGUUAGAAAUGUAUGUAACAAACUGCUCAGGGUUAAAAUAAAUUUCAAAGGACAUUUGAGUUAAAAUGAAUUUUGAAGAAUAUCUGAGAAUGCUUUGUCCCAGAUUAGUUCAGUAACAUAACGCUGGCUUGGCAAGGUUUUGGGGUAAAUAAAUCCUGCUCAUAGGCUCCCAUAGAAGAACCCUGGUUGCCGGUCGGACUGGCGGCACCACCUGCUGACGUGCUGCCGGAAUUCCAGUUACAACUUCUGAUCAAGUAUUUCCUUAAAACUUGUCAGACUUUGCAGUAUUUGGGCUGGAGUUAACACACAUUGUCCACGUGAAGCUAAAAUCUGGUUUUCCAAAUGCAUUGACCAAAACCACUGAUGUGUCCAUGAGAAGCCAAGAAGAUAGAUGUAGUUUGGUCCAUGCUAAGUGCCAUCUGGGAAGUUUUGUGCACACUCCUCUGCUCUGGAGAAGGCCUGUGGAAGAUGAGCUGCUUUUGAACCAGCGAUACUGUUCUCCUGAAAAUCCUGCUGUGAAAGAUUUCAAUUUGCAGAGGCUCAGUAGAAAUUCUUUUGAGUGUGUUGGUUUAAAUCCCUGCAGAGUCUGUUCUUGCUGGGAUUUUGCCUGUGCAGUUUCUGAUGCCGACGUUGAGUUGGUGCCAAGUCAGUGGCACGGCCUCUCCGUACAAGGAGCAAGGUUGGAGUGGGUGAGUGAAUUUGUUGAUGGGUAUGGAAAGAACAGCCUGGGAGCUCCAAAAAACACCGGGAUGUGGAAGGAACAUGUAAUGGACUAAGAAUAACAGCGCAAGUCCCUUCCUAAUCUGAGCCACUCUCUGUGUCCAUAAUUAUAUACAUUAUUUCUUCUAAGCAGAGUAGAUUUUUAAGUAGUUAAAUUCAGAACCAGAUACUUGUCACAUCCUGCACAUGUAACAUUUUCUCUACAUCAACAUUCUAAUCUGAAGAAUUAGGACUGUAACUGAACUUUGUUAUGUAGUCCUAAACAGGUAAAAUUGAUAAUAUUUGUAGAAUAUUUUGUCAUCUUGUAAUGCUGGAAACAUAAAUGAUCCCAGCAAU